GACACGGCCCAGACUCUACGGGAGGCAGCAGUGGGGAAUCUUGGACAAUGGGGGCAACCCUGAUCCAGCCAUGCCGCGUGAGUGAUGAAGGCCUUAGGGUCGUAAAGCUCUUUCGCCUGUGAAGAUAAUGACGGUAGCAGGUAAAGAAACCCCGGCUAACUCCGUGCCAGCAGCCGCGGUAAUACGGAGGGGGUUAGCGUUGUUCGGAAUUACUGGGCGUAAAGCGCACGUAGGCGGACUGGAAAGUUGGGGGUGAAAUCCCAGGGCUCAACCCUGGAACUGCCUCCAAAACUAUCAGUCUAGAGUUCGAGAGAGGUGAGUGGAAUUCCGAGUGUAGAGGUGAAAUUCGUAGAUAUUCGGAGGAACACCAGUGGCGAAGGCGGCUCACUGGCUCGAUACUGACGCUGAGGUGCGAAAGUGUGGGGAGCAAACAGGAUUAGAUACCCUGGUAGUCCACACCGUAAACGAUGAAUGCCAGUCGUCGGGUAGCAUGCUAUUCGGUGACACACCUAACGGAUUAAGCAUUCCGCCUGGGGAGUACGGUCGCAAGAUUAAAACUCAAAGGAAUUGACSGGGGGCCCGCACAAGCGGUGGAGCAUGUGGUUUAAUUCGAAGCAACGCGCAGAACCUUACCAACCCUUGACAUCCUAGGACMGGSCCAGAGAUGGGUCUUUCACUUCGGUGACCUAGUGACAGGUGCUGCAUGGCUGUCGUCAGCUCGGGUCGUGAGAUGUUCGGUUAAGUCCGGCA
Molecule: ribosomal RNA, 750 nt
Filed under: Ruegeria atlantica
Lineage: Bacteria; Pseudomonadati; Pseudomonadota; Alphaproteobacteria; Rhodobacterales; Roseobacteraceae
Description: bacterial SSU rRNA
Rfam family: Bacterial small subunit ribosomal RNA
Source: RNAcentral